GGGAAGGUGGCUCAGUGGUAGAGUGCUUGCCUAGCACGCAUGAGGCCUUGGGUUUGAUUCCUCAGUACCCCA
This 72-nucleotide transfer RNA is filed under the name Dipodomys ordii (Ord's kangaroo rat). It matches the Rfam family "tRNA". Rfam says of the family: Transfer RNA (tRNA) molecules are approximately 80 nucleotides in length. Their secondary structure includes four short double-helical elements and three loops (D, anti-codon, and T loops). Lineage: Eukaryota; Metazoa; Chordata; Mammalia; Rodentia; Heteromyidae. The record is from Rfam by way of RNAcentral.